AUGGCGGAAACGAUUGCCCACCCCCUUCAGUCCGCAUUCUUGAAGGGCCGGCGGAUCCAUGACGGGAUUCUUGCCCUUCACGAGAUUGUCCAUGAGGUGGCGUCGAAGGGGCUUAAGGGGAUCUUCCUCAAACUGGAUUUCCAGAAGGCUUAUGACCGUCUGGACUGGUCCUUUUUGAGGUUGGUGAUGUAG
Molecule: ribosomal RNA, 192 nt
Filed under: Triticum aestivum (bread wheat)
Lineage: Eukaryota; Viridiplantae; Streptophyta; Magnoliopsida; Poales; Poaceae
Description: partial small subunit ribosomal RNA
Source: RNAcentral